UACGUAGGGUCCGAGCGUUGUCCGGAGUUACUGGGCGUAAAGCGCGCGCAGGCGGCGGUGUAAGCAUGGCGUGAAAGCCCCAGGCUCAACCUGGGAGGGUCGUUGUGGACUGCACCGCUUGAGGGCGGUAGGGGCUGGUGGAAUGCCUGGUGUAGUGGUGAAAUGCGUAGAGAUCAGGCGGAACACCCGUGGCGAAGGCGGCCAGCUGGGCCGUCCCUGACGCUGAGGCGCGAAGGCGUGGGGAGCGAACGGG
RNAcentral lists this ribosomal RNA (253 nucleotides) under uncultured bacterium. RNAcentral's name for it is "partial 16S ribosomal RNA". It matches the Rfam family "Bacterial small subunit ribosomal RNA", at positions 524 to 776 of the family's 1533-position model. The record is from RNAcentral.